RNAcentral lists this ribosomal RNA (428 nucleotides) under uncultured bacterium. Its description in RNAcentral is "bacterial SSU rRNA". It matches the Rfam family "Bacterial small subunit ribosomal RNA", at positions 355 to 776 of the family's 1533-position model. The record is from RNAcentral.
UGGGGAAUUUUGGACAAUGGGGGCAACCCUGAUCCAGCAAUGCCGCGUGAGUGAAGAAGGCCUUCGGGUUGUAAAGCUCUUUUGUCAGGGAAGAAACACCGGCUCUAACACAGUCCGGGAAUGACGGUACCUGAAGAAUAAGCACCGGCUAACUACGUGCCAGCAGCCGCGGUAAUACGUAGGGUGCAAGCGUUAAUCGGAAUUACUGGGCGUAAAGCGUGCGCAGGCGGUAGUGCAAGUCUGAUGUGAAAGCCCCGGGCUUAACCUGGGAACGGCAUUGGAGACUGCAUAACUAGAGUGCGUCAGAGGGGGGUAGAAUUCCACGUGUAGCAGUGAAAUGCGUAGAUAUGUGGAGGAAUACCAAUGGCGAAGGCAGCCCCCUGGGAUAACACUGACGCUCAUGCACGAAAGCGUGGGGAGCAAACAGG